RNAcentral lists this ribosomal RNA (264 nucleotides) under uncultured archaeon. RNAcentral describes it as "partial 16S ribosomal RNA". It matches the Rfam family "Archaeal small subunit ribosomal RNA", at positions 717 to 982 of the family's 1478-position model. The record is from RNAcentral.
AGACGUCUACAUUAGAUACCCGUGUAGUCCCAGCCGUAAACUAUGCGCGUUAGGUGUAUCGGUGACCACGAGUUACCGAGGUGCCGAAGGGAAACCGUGAAACGUGCCGCCUGGGAAGUACGGUCACAAGGCUGAAACUUAAAGGAAUUGGCGGGGAGCACCACAACGGGUGGAGCCUGCGGUUUAAUUGGACUCAACGCCGGGAAGCUCACCGGAUAAGACAGCGGAAUGAUUGCCGGGCUGAAGACUCUGCAUGACUAGCUG